ACAAAGGUAUUUUAGGAAUCACAAACAACUUCCUAAAUUCACAACUUGUACUGUAUGAGAGGCCCUGAGAUACCCUGUAAUGGAAGAAGAGUGACACUGCUCUUUCUUCUCUUGCUGAUUCCACUGCCAACUCUUCUUGGUUGGGGAAAACAUGGCCACUAUGCAAUUUGCAAGAUCACACAGGAGUAUCUUAGUGAAGAUGCUCUAUUUGCUGUGAAACAACUGCUUCCAGAUUCUGCUGAAGGUGAUCUUGCUGCAAUUUGCUCUUGGCCUGAUGAGGUUCGGCGUAAUUACCGCUAUCGUUGGAGUAGUGCUUUACAUUAUGUUGACACACCAGAUUUCAAGUGUAAUUAUGAUUACUGCAGAGACUGUCAUGAUUCUUAUGGACAUCAGCAUAAAUGUGUCACUGGAGCAAUAUAUAAUUAUACAAUGCAGCUCAAAUCAGAUAAUGCAGAUACUUCACCUGAAUUACGCUAUAAUUUGACAGAGGCACUAAUGUUCUUGUCACAUUUUGUUGGGGAUGUUCAUCAGCCCCUACAUGUUGGUUUUACUGGAGACCUAGGUGGAAACUCGAUAACAGUUCGAUGGUACCGGAGGAAAACAAAUCUUCAUCAUGUAUGGGAUGACAUGAUUAUUGAGUCUGCUCUGAAAACGUUCUAUGGUUCAGAUCUUUCAAUUAUGAUACAGGCUAUUCAGAGGAAUAUUACAGAUAUUUGGUCAAAUGAUGUAUCUAUUUGGGAACAUUGUGCACACAACUACACAGCAUGUCCAGAUCGGUAUGCUUCUGAAAGCAUUAAGUUAGCAUGCAAGUAUGCAUACAAGAAUGCCACACCCGGAAGCACUUUGGAAGAUGAAUACUUCCUUUCUCGGCUGCCUAUUGUGGAGAAAAGGCUAGCUCAAGGAGGUGUGCGACUCGCAGCUAUCCUCAAUCGCAUUUUUAAUUCUAAGACUAGAAUUGCUCAAUCUUGAAGACACAUCUUCAGGGGAUCAUUCCAUUGUACAUAAUAGUGCUUUCCUUUGAAGGUCAGCAAUCAUGUUUAACCCAGCCUUUUUGUAUAUUCACUGCCUUUAAACAGAGCUCGACAGGGGUGACCUUGAGGGUUACAGGAAUAGGUGAAAAUUCAGAAAUUGAAAAACUAGCUGCUCAAAUUGCCAAUAAGUGUAAUGGGCUGCCUAUGACAAUAGUCACAAGUCACAACUGGACGGGCAUUUAAAGAUCUGAGUUGAUCAUGGGAGGAUGUUCACUGGCAGCUUGAAAGCAAAAUGAUAAUAGCAGCUCCUGUGUUUUUGCAUAUAAUGUGAAUUCUAGCAAAAUUAACAUCAAUUGGGGAUCAUUCCAUUGUACAUAACAGUUGUCAAUCUUGAAGUCACAUCUUCAGGGGAUCAUUCCAUUGUACACAUUUUCGCAUAUUAAUUCACUUUUAAAGUUUUC
Molecule: RNA transcript, 1432 nt
Organism: Lotus japonicus
Lineage: Eukaryota; Viridiplantae; Streptophyta; Magnoliopsida; Fabales; Fabaceae
Gene name: endonuclease 4-like
Exons: 10
Source: RefSeq, a predicted model, not a curated record